UACGGAGGGCGCUAGCGUUGUUCGGAAUCAUUGGGCGUAAAGCGCGUGUAGGCGGCUUGGUAAGUCGAGUGUGAAAUCCCGGGGCUCAACCCCGGAAGGUCGCUCGAAACUGCCUCGCUCGAGUCCCGGAGAGGAAGGCGGAAUUCCCGGUGUAGAGGUGAAAUUCGUAGAUAUCGGGAGGAACACCAGCGGCGAAGGCGGCCUUCUGGACGGUGACUGACGCUGAGACGCGAAAGCGUGGGGAGCAAACAGG
This 253-nucleotide ribosomal RNA is filed under the name uncultured bacterium. RNAcentral describes it as "partial 16S ribosomal RNA". It matches the Rfam family "Bacterial small subunit ribosomal RNA", at positions 524 to 776 of the family's 1533-position model. The record is from RNAcentral.